Molecule: ribosomal RNA, 253 nt
Filed under: uncultured bacterium
Lineage: Bacteria
Description: partial 16S ribosomal RNA
Rfam family: Bacterial small subunit ribosomal RNA
Source: RNAcentral
UACGUAGGUGGCUAGCGUUGUCCGGAUUUACUGGGCGUAAAGGGCGUGCAGGCGGUUUGUUAAGUGCAGGGUGAAAGCUCCCGGCUCAACUGGGAGAGGUCCUUGCAUACUGGCGAACUCGAGGGAGGCAGAGGAAAGUGGAAUUCCCGGUGUAGUGGUGAUAUGCGUAGAUAUCGGGAGGAACACCUGUGGCGAAGGCGGCUUUCUGGGCCUUACCUGACGCUGAGACGCGAAAGCGUGGGGAGCGAACCGG